GGAAAUGUGGCUUAGUGGUAGAGUGCUUGCCUAGCAUGCACGAGGCCCUAGGUUCGAUUCCUCAGUACCA
Molecule: transfer RNA, 70 nt
Filed under: Dipodomys ordii (Ord's kangaroo rat)
Lineage: Eukaryota; Metazoa; Chordata; Mammalia; Rodentia; Heteromyidae
Rfam family: tRNA
About the family: Transfer RNA (tRNA) molecules are approximately 80 nucleotides in length. Their secondary structure includes four short double-helical elements and three loops (D, anti-codon, and T loops). Further hydrogen bonds mediate the characteristic L-shaped molecular structure. tRNAs have two regions of fundamental functional importance: the anti-codon, which is responsible for specific mRNA codon recognition, and the 3' end, to which the tRNAs corresponding amino acid is attached (by aminoacyl-tRNA synthetases). tRNAs cope with the degeneracy of the genetic code in two manners: having more than one tRNA (with a specific anti-codon) for a particular amino acid; and 'wobble' base-pairing, i.e. permitting non-standard base-pairing at the 3rd anti-codon position.
Source: Rfam by way of RNAcentral